This 343-nucleotide unclassified non-coding RNA is filed under the name Ramicandelaber taiwanensis. RNAcentral's name for it is "partial internal transcribed spacer region". The stretch from base 1 to 46 matches the Rfam family "Eukaryotic small subunit ribosomal RNA", at positions 1786 to 1831 of the family's 1831-position model. Lineage: Eukaryota; Fungi; Kickxellomycota; Ramicandelaberales; Ramicandelaberaceae. The record is from RNAcentral.
AAGUCGUAACAAGGUAUCCGUAGGUGAACCUGCGGAUGGAUCAUUACCAAUUUUAUAUAAUAGUUUGCCUGUGACGGACUACUCUGCUACAGGUAUUAACUACUAUUGUAAACGUUGAACUAGAUCAAUUGGUGUGGAUUGCUUGGGAAUGGACGAAGCGACAAGCCUCUUCCGGACAGGCAAGCCCCACACUGGUAACCCUUUUCAAUUAUACAAUUCGUACAUACUACAAAUACAAACAAAUUCUAUUAAUAGGACUUAUUAAUGGGCUGAGUGGGUAAAAUCCUCGGCUCUAUAAAUUUAUAACAAAAUACAACUUUCAGCAAUGGAUCUCUAGGCUCUC